RNAcentral lists this ribosomal RNA (483 nucleotides) under uncultured bacterium. Its description in RNAcentral is "partial 16S ribosomal RNA". It matches the Rfam family "Bacterial small subunit ribosomal RNA", at positions 30 to 507 of the family's 1533-position model. The record is from RNAcentral.
AUUGAACGCUGGCGGCAGGCCUAACACAUGCAAGUCGAGCGGAUGAAGGGAGCUUGCUCCUGGAUUCAGCGGCGGACGGGUGAGUAAUGCCUAGGAAUCUGCCUGGUAGUGGGGGAUAACGUCCGGAAACGGGCGCUAAUACCGCAUACGUCCUGAGGGAGAAAGUGGGGGAUCUUCGGACCUCACGCUAUCAGAUGAGCCUAGGUCGGAUUAGCUAGUUGGUGGGGUAAAGGCCUACCAAGGCGACGAUCCGUAACUGGUCUGAGAGGAUGAUCAGUCACACUGGAACGGGGAACCGGCCAAGCCUCCUACGGGAGGAGGAGGUGGGGAAUAUUGGCCAAUGGGGGAAAGCCUGAUCCAGCCAGGCGGCGUGGGUGAAGAAGGUCUUCGGAUUGUAAAGCACUUUAAGUUGGAAGAAAGGGCAGUAAGUUAAUACCUUGCUGUUUUGCCGUACCAACAGAAUAAGCACCGGCUAACUUCGUG